AUCCAGCUGAGGAGUACCAAAUAGGACGAAACACAGUUUCUGGAU
RNAcentral lists this non-coding RNA (45 nucleotides) under Schistosoma curassoni. The record is from RNAcentral. Lineage: Eukaryota; Metazoa; Platyhelminthes; Trematoda; Strigeidida; Schistosomatidae.